Molecule: ribosomal RNA, 490 nt
Filed under: Salmonella enterica subsp. enterica serovar Infantis
Lineage: Bacteria; Pseudomonadati; Pseudomonadota; Gammaproteobacteria; Enterobacterales; Enterobacteriaceae
Also listed under: 2 other names
Description: partial 23S ribosomal RNA
Rfam family: Bacterial large subunit ribosomal RNA
Source: RNAcentral
UGAAUCCAUAGGUUAAUGAGGCGAACCGGGGGAACUGAAACAUCUAAGUACCCCGAGGAAAAGAAAUCAACCGAGAUUCCCCCAGUAGCGGCGAGCGAACGGGGAGGAGCCCAGAGCCUGAAUCAGCAUGUGUGUUAGUGGAAGCGUCUGGAAAGGCGCGCGAUACAGGGUGACAGCCCCGUACACAAAAGCGCAUGUGCUGUGAGCUCGAUGAGUAGGGCGGGACACGUGGUAUCCUGUCUGAAUAUGGGGGGACCAUCCUCCAAGGCUAAAUACUCCUGACUGACCGAUAGUGAACCAGUACCGUGAGGGAAAGGCGAAAAGAACCCCGGCGAGGGGAGUGAAAAAGAACCUGAAACCGUGUACGUACAAGCAGUGGGAGCACAGGUUUACCUGUGUGACUGCGUACCUUUUGUAUAAUGGGUCAGCGACUUAUAUUCUGUAGCAAGGUUAACCGAAUAGGGGAGCCGGAGGGAAACCGAGUCUUAAU